This is a long non-coding RNA of Nymphaea colorata (pocket water lily), 621 nucleotides long. RefSeq lists it as uncharacterized. NCBI's taxonomy places the organism in Eukaryota, Viridiplantae, Streptophyta, Magnoliopsida, Nymphaeales, Nymphaeaceae. The record is from RefSeq and is a predicted model, not a curated record. The transcript is spliced from 2 exons.
CCUUACGCUCGUCGUUCACCUACGCCCUUUCUAAUUCCCCAACUUCUCUCUCUCUCGCUCUCUCUCUCUCAAUCUCUCUUCUGAAGGCUGAAGCAGAGGCAGGUCGGGGCAAAAUGGGGUCUACAAAGAGGACGGCGUGCAAGAGGAGGGCGAGAUGGACGCUGAUAUGGUCGGAGCUGCAGACGACGAGACUUCAUUUUCCAAGGAAUUGGGUCAGAUGAAGAGAAGGCUUAAGGAAAUGGAGGACGUGGCCGGUGCUCUCCGCGAAAUGCUGGCCAAGAUAGAGAAGAAGAUGGGCACAGGGCAAGGCGUGAGCAAAUGUGUUGUUUUUCUGCUUAUUCUUAGAGGUCCUUGUUCAGUUGGUUUAUUUUUGCUUAUUCUCAGAAGUCAUUUUUAGGUCAGUUAGUAAGUUGCAAUGGGCAAGACGCUGCUGGAUAUUAUUCGAGCUCGAGCUCUUUGAGUCGAGUCGAGCUCGAGCUGGGCAAGCUCGGGCUCGACUCGGCUCGUGUGCAGCCCUAGCUGCCCCCUCCAUUCCCACUUGAGUUGUUUCAAACGCAACCCCCGAUUUACAAGAAAAUGUCAUUUCCAUCCCAAAUUAAUUGUCAAUAUCUAAUUGAUUCA